UACGUAGGUGGCAAGCGUUGUCCGGCAUUAUUGGGCGUAAAGCGCGCGCAGGCGGUUCUUUAAGUCUGAUGUGAAAGCCCACGGCUCAACCGUGGAGGGUCAUUGGAAACUGGAGAACUUGAGUACAGAAGAGGAAAGCGGAAUUCCACGUGUAGCGGUGAAAUGCGUAGAGAUGUGGAGGAACACCAGUGGCGAAGGCGACUUUCUGGCCUAUAACUGACGCUGAGGCGCGAAAGCGUGGGGAGCAAACAGG
Molecule: ribosomal RNA, 253 nt
Filed under: uncultured bacterium
Lineage: Bacteria
Description: partial 16S ribosomal RNA
Rfam family: Bacterial small subunit ribosomal RNA
Source: RNAcentral